ACUUUGUUGGACUUUCUCUCUUCUCUUUCUUUUUUUACAUGCUGAACGCUGAGGGCCGGGAUUGUAUCCUUUGUGCACUCGCGUCAGCAUGUUUCUUAGGUUCGAACUUGUAAAGCUAACCAUUUCGUUACCUUUCUUGUAAGAAUCAUGAGAUAUCAUCAGUCUUGAAGACUUAUAAGGGAUCUGGUUAGCAAGCUUUGAAYGCGCGCUGACUCUUUACCUUGUACUUGAUAUYGGCCUUAUGGUCGAUAUUCGGUAUAUGGUAUAGCCAAAGGAUCCCUAAAAAGGCAUUCAGUGACUGGAUUGCCGGAUUUAGGCCUUGAAAUGGUCUUUGGGACUAAGUAAGCUUAGCUAUGGUUACUUUUGUAGCCGUUGCGACUGCUUGCUUGUGUUUCGAAGCCUAUUGAAGGGUAACUGGUACCGAAUCCAAAGGUUUACUUGGUGAAUCGAAAGGUUUACUAAGUGAACCAUUGGUGAAGUCCGGUUUGCGAUAAUCUUGGGGGUUUCUAAGGCGGAUUUUCUAAGAGCUGGACUAUAGUCGAGUUGGUAACAAAACGCAAUAAAAUGCAAGACAGUUAUC
RNAcentral lists this unclassified non-coding RNA (580 nucleotides) under Armillaria mellea. Its description in RNAcentral is "partial intergenic spacer". The record is from RNAcentral. Lineage: Eukaryota; Fungi; Basidiomycota; Agaricomycetes; Agaricales; Physalacriaceae.